This is a long non-coding RNA of Episyrphus balteatus (marmalade hoverfly), 1007 nucleotides long. RefSeq lists it as uncharacterized. The transcript is spliced from 3 exons. Lineage: Eukaryota; Metazoa; Arthropoda; Insecta; Diptera; Syrphidae. The record is from RefSeq and is a predicted model, not a curated record.
CAGCUUUUUUAUUUUCAUUGAUUUUGAUGGAUAUAAGCCAUGUAUUCAUACAAAAUGAAAACUUUACUUUUUUUCUUAUCAGAAAAAAAUCGAUCAGAAAGUUCAAAACUCAUGUACAAAAUUUUACAAAUCGCACUAUGCACUUGCUUUUCACAUAUCUACAAAAUUUACAACCAACGUGCUCUGUUUAAAUAUAUAUAUAUACAAUAUUCAAAGAACCAGCUGCAAAAACAAACUGGAACUAUUCCAAUACCUACUUUUCGUCUUGGUCAAAUGGGAGAGCAGAACAGGUGAGAUCAGAAUGAGCCAAGUGCGAGUAUGUCUCACCGAAAAACUUGAGUGUUUUAGACCUAAUAGAUAACUUGCUACCGUUGCGUCAUUAAAGUUAUAUACUUAUGCGUUAAAGCUUUUUUCCAUGGAAAUAGAAAAGAGCAGUACUCUCAAUCUUGGCAGAAAUUUAAUUACUUAAGCAAUAAAAUAAUAUUGUAGGUAUGUAUUCAAAAAUAAAUUGCAAGAAAAACGAACAAGGGGGAUUUUAUUUGGGAGAUAUCAAAAUAAUAUAUUAUUCCGCACUGAACUAAAUUUAUCUUUUUGUUCUGUAAGUCAUUGUGUCAUUGGUAAAUACUUUCGACUAUACACCACUUGUCUUUAUUUAUAAUAUUUUUUGUAAGUUCAAUUAACAGCGAUAAUUAAGUUUAAGCUUUGUUGUGAUGGUAUCGUAAUCAGAAGAAUGAAUAGUUAUAUUAAUGUUUAUUAUCGCACUCACGGGUAUUCUGGUCAGAAGGGAAGUAAAAAAAAAUUGCAAUCGCUAUCGAAUGUUAAACGUUACUAACUGUAGACAGGUAAACUUUGUUGAAGUUCACCUGACUAGAAAUUAAGAAAUUCGGUAUGCUUCACGCAUAUGUAUGAAAAACAAUAAAAACCAAGACGAUAACAAGAGUAUCUAAUCAAUUAACAAUACAUACGUAUCUCUGUUUAUCAUGUCAGUGCGUAAAUCAUGCAUGAGC